Long non-coding RNA from Sitophilus oryzae (rice weevil), 248 nucleotides. RefSeq lists it as uncharacterized. NCBI's taxonomy places the organism in Eukaryota, Metazoa, Arthropoda, Insecta, Coleoptera, Curculionidae. The transcript has 2 exons. The record is from RefSeq and is a predicted model, not a curated record.
AUGAUGUACAAUGCAGGCAAUAUUUCUGCCUCCUAACGCACUAUUCGCGUAAAAGAAGAUGUGGGUAUUGUAUUUAUAGAACAGAUUUAUUAUUAGUUGGCUAGUGUGUUAGUAGGAUAGCCAUUGGUAGUUAUAAAGUCGUCAGGUAUUAAUAAUAGGAAUUGAUCAAAGCUUAUACAUUUAUUGUGAUAUUUAUAUUGUGAAUUUAAGUAGUUAGUUUUGGUUGUUUAAUAAACGAAUUAAUGUGC